AUUGAACGCUGGCGGCAGGCCUAACACAUGCAAGUCGAACGGUAACAGGAAGCAGCUUGCUGCUUCGCUGACGAGUGGCGGACGGGUGAGUAAUGUCUGGGAAGCUGCCUGAUGGAGGGGGAUAACUACUGGAAACGGUAGCUAAUACCGCAUAAUGUCGCACGACCAAAGAGGGGGACCUUCGGGCCUCUUGCCAUCGGAUGUGCCCAGAUGGGAUUAGCUUGUUGGUGGGGUAACGGCUCACCAAGGCGACGAUCCCUAGCUGGUCUGAGAGGAUGACCAGCCACACUGGAACUGGGACACGGUCCAGACUCCUACGGGAGGCAGCAGUGGGGAAUAUUGCACAAUGGGCGCAAGCCUGAUGCAGCCAUGCCGCGUGUAUGAAGAAGUCCUUCGGGUUGUAAAGUACUUUCAGCGGGGAGGAAGGGAGUAAAGUUAAUACCUUUGCUCAUUGACGUUACCCGCAGAAGAAGCACCGGCUAACUCCGUG
Molecule: ribosomal RNA, 490 nt
Filed under: uncultured bacterium
Lineage: Bacteria
Description: partial 16S ribosomal RNA
Rfam family: Bacterial small subunit ribosomal RNA
Source: RNAcentral